CAGUCGCCGCGGUAAUACGGAGGGUGCAAACGUUGCUCGGAAUUAUUGGGCGCAAAGCGCACGUAGGCGGCCAAGUAAGUCGGGUGUGAAAGCCCAGGGCUUAACCCUGGAAGUGCACUCGAAACUGCUUGGCUUGAAUGUGGAAGAGGGUCGCGGAAUUCCCGGUGUAGAGGUGAAAUUCGUAGAUAUCGGGAGGAACACCAGUGGCGAAGGCGGCGACCUGGGCCAACAUUGACGCUGAGGUGCGAAAGCGUGGGGAGCAAACAGGAUUAGAUACCCCCGUAGUCCCUGUCUCUUAUAC
This 301-nucleotide ribosomal RNA is filed under the name uncultured bacterium. Its description in RNAcentral is "partial 16S ribosomal RNA". It matches the Rfam family "Bacterial small subunit ribosomal RNA", at positions 509 to 807 of the family's 1533-position model. The record is from RNAcentral.